CCAAUCAACCUGUGGCCGGACCAGGGCUGCCAUCUUCCCGGCGGACCAUUUCUGCUCUUCCGCCGUACGGCCUCUGUCAUUGGCCAGGGCGGCCUCGUUUCAGCUCUAAGUAUACACCGAUUGGUGCGCCUAAAGAGCACCGGAAAACAGUGCCUGCCAUUUGGAAUGCACAAAUGAAUGAGCGACUAGGAUGAACUUCUGAGCUGAGAUCUGACUGAAGUUAGGAAGUGAGCCAGGAGAUGUCUGGGGAAGAGAAUUCCGGAUAGAGGGAACAGCAAAGGCAAAGCUCGGAAGCAGGCUACGUGAUCAGUCUGAAGUGGACCACAUUCUUGGUCUCACCACAGCCAGUCUCGCCUGAACCCUCUGUGAUCCGGCUUCUCUCCCCACUACGCUACGACUUCUCUCCAAAGGCACUGGACCUCCCAGCAGCCAAAUCCCAGGGCCUCUCCUGCACGCUUGCUCCUGAGACUGUGAGCGCUUUCCUUUUGAAGACAUAGAUAAGUAAUUUCACGGCCAUUACAGGAAAAUUAUAAAAUACUGGCAAGCAAAAAUUCAUUUAAAAAUCACUGGAAGCCCCACCACCCACUAUUAACAUCUCGCUGGAUAUUCUUCCUCACUGUUGCCUCAGCAAAUAUAUACACGCAAGUUGUGCAUUUUUAAACCAAAAUGGGACUGUGCUGUGUAAACCAUUUCAUGAAUUUUUUUUUUUUUCCACUGAAAAAUAUGGCAUAGCCAUCCUUCCAUGUCAGGGAGCAUAUUCCUACACUAUCACUGUCACCAUUAAUCACCCCCUCCUGGGUGAAACUUUCUGUGCCCGUGGCCUGGGAGAUGUGGCAUUUGCGGGUGUGUCCCUCUCUCAGAGACAACUCUUUCAGACCCUCCACCCACGGUCGUGGCGACCACCCAGCUUUGCCCCUCUGCCUCUACUUUUCUCACUUCAACCUUGUUCCAACUUGGAAUCCAGCUAGACAUUUCUACUUUAGUGUUUUACUCUCACUGCAAAGAAAAAGCCUAAAUUCACAUUCUCUCCUCAAACCAGCAUUCCUCGCCCACUGGCAUGUUUACCAUGUAGUCUAUUGCCGGAGCCACCUUUGUCCUACCCCACUGUCCUCAUAUCUAGUCAGUUUCCAGGGGCUGUUCAUUUUCUUUCACUACACCUCACGUCUCCAUUCCUCUCUGUUCCCGCUGCCACUGUACCAGCCCCAGUCCCUUGUCUCAAAUGCUGGUGUCAUCCAGCAGCCUCCCGGUGGGCCUCUCACGGUGCCUUCUGGCCACGUGACCCGUUCUCCAUCAUCCAGGGGGGUGCCUUCUCCUGCUCCAGAACCCGCAACAGCUCUUUCCCAAAUUGAUACUUCCGUAGGCUCGCAGACACCUAUACCACCUCGUAGCUACCGAAUUCCAAAACACACUCUGCUCUGGUCAGGCCGGGCCUUCCACCGUCCCAGGGAUGUGCAAGCUUCGUCCCCGUCCCCAUUACAUAGGAUGUCUUUCCCUGUACCCACCCGAAUCCUAUCUAACCCACUAGGCCCUGCUUACAUCUCACCUCUUGGAGUUACUUCAGCCCACUCAGGUCUCCCCGCUUCACUAAACUCCUACUGCACUUACAGCACGAGCCACACAGCAUGCACCUCACGGUGCCAACCCCGGGUGAGAUCCAGUAGCACAGGCAUUACAAACUGGUUGGCUUAACAUCCUAGGGAGUAGAAAGCGGAGUCUAUGGAAAUUAGAGAUGUGGAGAGACCCAGGGGUCAGGGAAUUAGAGGAAGGGGGGCAGAUGGGAGUAG
Long non-coding RNA from Physeter macrocephalus (sperm whale), 1784 nucleotides. RefSeq lists it as uncharacterized. NCBI's taxonomy places the organism in Eukaryota, Metazoa, Chordata, Mammalia, Artiodactyla, Physeteridae. The record is from RefSeq and is a predicted model, not a curated record. The transcript has 3 exons.